UACGUAGGGGGCAAGCGUUAUCCGGAUUUACUGGGUGUAAAGGGAGCGCAGACGGAACUGCAAGUCUGAUGUGAAAGCCCGGGGCUCAACCGCGGGACUGCAUCGGAUACUGUGGAUCUGGAGUGCCGGAGGGGCAAGCGGAACUCCUGGUGUAGCGGUGAAAUGCGUAGAUAUCAGGAGGAACACCGGCGGCGAAGGCGGCUUGCUGGACGGCAACUGACGUUGAGGCUCGAAAGCGUGGGGAGCAAACAGGAUUAGAUACCCU
Molecule: ribosomal RNA, 265 nt
Filed under: uncultured prokaryote
Description: partial 16S ribosomal RNA
Rfam family: Bacterial small subunit ribosomal RNA
Source: RNAcentral